GCUUAGAGAGGGGUCAAUGUCCUAUCAGCUAGUUGGUAAGGUAAUGGCUUACCAAGGCUAAGACGGGUAGCCGGCCUGAGAGGGUGGUCGGCCACACUGGGACUGAGACACUGCCCAGACUCCUACGGGAGGCUGCAGUCGAGAAUCUUUCGCAAUGCCCGAAAGGGUGACGAAGCGACGCCGCGUGUGGGAAGAAGGCCUUCGGGUUGUAAACCACUGUCGGGAGUUAAGAAAUGUAAGGGUGUUAAUAGCGUCCUUACUUGACUAAGGCUCCGGAGGAAGCCACGGCUAACUCUGUGCCAGCAGCCGCGGUAAUACAGAGGCGGCAAGCGUUGUUCGGAAUUAUUGGGCGUAAAGAGCACGUAGGCGGCUUUGUAAGUCAGUUGUGAAAGCCUUCCGCUUAACGGAAGAACAGCAUCUGAUACUGCAAGGCUAGAGUGCGGAAGGG
RNAcentral lists this ribosomal RNA (448 nucleotides) under uncultured Planctomycetota bacterium. Its description in RNAcentral is "bacterial SSU rRNA". It matches the Rfam family "Bacterial small subunit ribosomal RNA", at positions 217 to 656 of the family's 1533-position model. The record is from RNAcentral. Lineage: Bacteria; Pseudomonadati; Planctomycetota.